RNAcentral lists this ribosomal RNA (254 nucleotides) under uncultured Lactobacillus sp. RNAcentral's name for it is "partial 16S ribosomal RNA". It matches the Rfam family "Bacterial small subunit ribosomal RNA", at positions 111 to 354 of the family's 1533-position model. The record is from RNAcentral. Lineage: Bacteria; Bacillati; Bacillota; Bacilli; Lactobacillales; Lactobacillaceae.
UAACACGUGGGGAACCGUGCCCCACUAGUCUGGGAUACCACUUGGAAACAGGUGCUAAUACCGGAUAAGAAAGCGGAUCGCAUGAUCAGCUUUUAAAAGGCGGCGUAAGCUGUCGCUAUGGGAUGGCCCCGCGGUGCAUUAGCUAGUUGGUAAGGUAAAGGCUUACCAAGGCGAUGAUGCAUAGCCGAGUUGAGAGACUGAUCGGCCACAUUGGGACUGAGACACGGCCCAAACUCCUACGGGAGGCAGCAGGC